Molecule: long non-coding RNA, 375 nt
Organism: Osmerus eperlanus (European smelt)
Lineage: Eukaryota; Metazoa; Chordata; Actinopteri; Osmeriformes; Osmeridae
Exons: 3
Source: RefSeq, a predicted model, not a curated record
GUCCCCUCACCUCUGUGCCCCCUCAUGAUGGACAGGUCCCCUCACCUCUGUGCCACCCUCAUGAUGGACAGGUCGCUGAUGCGGCUGCAGUGAUCCAGAUUCAGCUCCAGCAGCCUGGAGGCAGAUGGGCUCUCCGUCAGGUUCCUCAGGACACCCAUGGCCUUGAGGCUGACGUCAGUCAUCCUGGGACACUGGGCGGCGUGGAGUCUGGUGAGGCCAGGGGAGCUGCGGCACAGAGCCUUCCAGCUGAUGUCAGUCAUGCGAGGGUUUCCUGCAAGAACACACACAGAUUUUUGUGUAGCCUCUGAAUUUGGUCCAAAGCCAGCUGCACCAAAACAUUCUCCAGGGGAGGGUUUAGGCAGAAGAAAGCCCACA